Molecule: non-coding RNA, 592 nt
Organism: Pelobates cultripes (western spadefoot toad)
Lineage: Eukaryota; Metazoa; Chordata; Amphibia; Anura; Pelobatidae
Source: the annotation of a GenBank genome assembly
CCAAAAUUCACUGCCUUUGCUGAAAGUUUCAUAAUCUGUUUUAUUAAGAGUCUAACUUAAGUAAGAUGUUUCAGUUUGAGACUGGACAAUCAGCUGUGAACUUGUUUACGGAAACACAAACCUUAAUUGUCCCCAUUAGACCACUCUUUACAAAAAAGGUUUACAUAUCCAGUCUAGAGAGAUCAACUUGAUAAACAUUAUGAAGCGAGCAGGAUAACUUGAAAAAAAAAAAAAAAACAUUGAUAAAAGGAAUUUGCCAUGUGCAAAUCAUGUGGGUAAGUUCACAUCCAGCUAUAGUCAGUUACAUUAGGCUAAGAUAUAAUAAAAACAAUUUGCUGGUAGAAUACAUGUCAUUGGGUUUAUCUACAAAAUUUUGUUAAAUAGCAACUUGGUCAUUACAGUAAAUAUAACUUUGUAAAACCCCUUUACUAUUUCCUUUAAUUAAGCCCACAAUACAAGGAAUGCACUUUUCAUAUUUAUAAAACAGACCCAUAAUAAUACUGACUAAUCAAAUAAAUUAAUGUAGCUUUUUAUGUGACAUCAGCUGUCUAGAAUCAAGUUCUGGUUACACAGUGCGUAUUUAAAAAAAAAA